AGAGUUUGAUCCUGGCUCAGAACGUACGCUGGCGGCACGCCUAACACAUGCAAGUCGAACGCAGUAGCAAUACUGAGUGGCGAACGGGUGAGUAACAUGUGGGUAUCUUCCCUUUGGUGAGGAAUAACACGAGGAAACUUGUGCUAAUACCUCAUAAGUCUUUACGGAGAAAGCUUUAUGCGCCAAUGGAUGAGCCUGCACUUGAUUAGUUUGUUGGUGGGGUAAUGGCCUACCAAGACUUUGAUCAAUAGCUGAUUUGAGAGGAUGAUCAGCCACAUUGGGACUGAGACACGGCCCAAACUCCUACGGGAGGCAGCAGUAGGGAAUCUUGCACAAUGGAGGAAACUCUGAUGCAGCGAUGCCGCGUGAGUGAAGAAGGCCUUUGGGUUGUAAAGCUCUUUCGUCGGGGAAGAAAAUGACUGUACCCGAAUAAGAAGGUCCGGCUAACUUCGUGCCAGCAGCCGCGGUAAUACGAAGGGACCUAGCGUAGUUCGGAAUUACUGGGCUUAAAGAGUUCGUAGGUGGUUAAAAAAGUUGGUGGUGAAAUCCCAGAGCUUAACUCUGGAACUGCCAUCAAAACUUUUUAGCUAGAGUAUGAUAGAGGAAAGCAGAAUUUCUAGUGUAGAGGUGAAAUUCGUAGAUAUUAGAAAGAAUACCAAUUGCGAAGGCAGUUUUCUGGAUCAUUACUGACACUGAGGAACGAAAGCAUGGGUAGCGAAGAGGAUUAGAUACCCUCGUAGUCCAUGCCGUAAACGAUGUGUGCUAGACGUUGGAAAUUUUAUUUUCAGUGUCGCAGCAAAAGCGUUAAGCACACCGCCUGGGGAGUACGACCGCAAGGUUAAAACUCAAAUGAAUUGACGGGGACCCGCACAAGUAGUGGAGCAUGUGGUUUAAUUCGAAGAUACGCGCAGAACCUUACCAACACUUGACAUGUUCGUCGCGACUCUAAGAGAUUAGAGUCUUCGGUUCGGCCGGACGAAACACAGGUGCUGCAUGGCUGUCGUCAGCUCGUGUCGUGAGAUGUUGGGUUAAGUCCCGCAACGAGCGCAACCCUUACUUUUAGUUGCCAUCAUUUAGUUGGGAACUCUAAAAGAACUGCCAGUGAUAAGCUGGAGGAAGGUGGGGAUGACGUCAAGUCCUCAUGGCCCUUACGUGUUGGGCUACACACGUGCUACAAUGGUACUUACAAUGAGAAGCAAAGAGGCGACUCUAAGCCAAUCUUAAAAAAGUACCUCAGUUCGGAUUGCACUCUGCAACUCGAGUGCAUGAAGCUGGAAUUACUAGUAAUCGUGGAUCAGCGCGCCACGGUGAAUACGUUCCCGGGUCUUGUACACACCGCCCGUCACACCAUGGAAGUUGGUUACACCUUAAGGCAAAUUGUUAACCCUCGGGAAACAUUUGACUACGGUACGAUCAGCGACUGGGGUGAAGUCGUAACAAGGUAACC
Molecule: ribosomal RNA, 1447 nt
Filed under: uncultured bacterium
Lineage: Bacteria
Description: bacterial SSU rRNA
Rfam family: Bacterial small subunit ribosomal RNA
Source: RNAcentral